RNAcentral lists this ribosomal RNA (542 nucleotides) under Fusarium sp. Ghr1. RNAcentral describes it as "eukaryotic LSU rRNA". It matches the Rfam family "Eukaryotic large subunit ribosomal RNA", at positions 91 to 656 of the family's 3401-position model. The record is from RNAcentral. Lineage: Eukaryota; Fungi; Ascomycota; Sordariomycetes; Hypocreales; Nectriaceae.
GAGUGAAGCGGCAACAGCUCAAAUUUGAAAUCUGGCUCUCGGGCCCGAGUUGUAAUUUGUAGAGGAUGCUUUUGGUGAGGUGCCUUCCGAGUUCCCUGGAACGGGACGCCAUAGAGGGUGAGAGCCCCGUCUGGUUGGACGCCGAACCUCUGUAAAGCUCCUUCGACGAGUCGAGUAGUUUGGGAAUGCUGCUCUAAAUGGGAGGUAUAUGUCUUCUAAAGCUAAAUACCGGCCAGAGACCGAUAGCGCACAAGUAGAGUGAUCGAAAGAUGAAAAGAACUUUGAAAAGAGAGUUAAACAGUACGUGAAAUUGUUGAAAGGGAAGCGCUUGUGACCAGACUUGGGCUUGGUUGAUCAUCCGGGGUUCUCCCCGGUGCACUCUUCCGGCCCAGGCCAGCAUCAGUUCGCCCUGGGGGAUAAAGGCAUCGGGAACGUGGCUCUCUCCGGGGAGUGUUAUAGCCCGUUGCGUAAUACCCUGCGGCGGACUGAGGUUCGCGCAUUCGCAAGGAUGCUGGCGUAAUGGUCAUCAGUGACCCGUCUUG